RNAcentral lists this small RNA (83 nucleotides) under Vibrio xuii. RNAcentral describes it as "isrK". It matches the Rfam family "isrK Hfq binding RNA". The record is from RNAcentral. Lineage: Bacteria; Pseudomonadati; Pseudomonadota; Gammaproteobacteria; Vibrionales; Vibrionaceae.
GCACUGGCAAAAUCCAGUGUCAGGAUUGGACCCCCGUUUUUGAUUCUUCCGGCACAUAGAUGCCAGCUUUUUGCUGGUUUUUU